RNAcentral lists this unclassified non-coding RNA (353 nucleotides) under soil metagenome. Its description in RNAcentral is "partial contains 5.8S ribosomal RNA, internal transcribed spacer 2, and large subunit ribosomal RNA". The stretch from base 1 to 120 matches the Rfam family "5.8S ribosomal RNA", at positions 35 to 154 of the family's 154-position model. The record is from RNAcentral.
GAUGAAGAACGUAGCGAAAUGCGAUAAGUAAUGUGAAUUGCACAAUUCAGUGAAUCAUCGAAUCUUUGAACGCACAUUGCGCCCGCGAGUAUUCUCGCGGGCAUGCCUGUCCGAGCGUCAUUUCAACCCUCAGGGCCCGCCUGCUUCGGCAGGCGCGGCGCUGGUGUUGGGGAUCGGCCUAACCGCCGUCCCCCAAAUACAGUGGCGGUCUCGCUGCAGCCUCCCCUGCGUAGUAGCAACACUCGCAUGCGGAGCGCGGCGCGGCCACGCCGUAAAACCCCCGACUUUCUGAACGUUGACCUCGGAUCAGGUAGGAAUACCCGCUGAACUUAAGCAUAUCAAUAAGCGGAGGA